UACGUAGGGGGCAAGCGUUGUCCGGAUUUAUUGGGCGUAAAGCGCUUGUAGGCGGCUUGUUAAGUUCCGUGUGAAAUCCCCAGGCUCAACCUGGGAAGUGCGCGGAAAACUGGCGAGCUUGAGUGCCGGAGAGGGUCGCGGAAUUCCCGGUGUAGAGGUGAAAUUCGUAGAUAUCGGGAGGAACACCAGUGGCGAAGGCGGCGACCUGGACGGACACUGACGCUGAGACGCGAAAGCGUGGGGAGCAAACAGG
RNAcentral lists this ribosomal RNA (253 nucleotides) under uncultured bacterium. RNAcentral describes it as "partial 16S ribosomal RNA". It matches the Rfam family "Bacterial small subunit ribosomal RNA", at positions 524 to 776 of the family's 1533-position model. The record is from RNAcentral.